This 360-nucleotide long non-coding RNA is filed under the name Dermacentor andersoni. RNAcentral's name for it is "uncharacterized LOC126538459". The record is from RNAcentral. Lineage: Eukaryota; Metazoa; Arthropoda; Arachnida; Ixodida; Ixodidae.
UAUGCAGAUAUGCAAUGGCAAGCCCUUCCGUGUGUCCCAAAGACAAUGCCUAUACCUAGCCACAGCAGCUCCCUCAUACAGACUCCGCAAGCCAAGAGGCCAUGGAGGCAAAUGCAGGCAGCCAGCACACCUCGAACAGCCACCUUGACUGCGGGUGUGUCACCCUAGUCGCCAAGGGAACAUUUGAGGGAAAGCGACAGGCAAAGUGAAGAGCCACUUCUCCAUGUAAAUGAUACUCUUUCUCUCAGAUGACUCCUACGCCUCGCCACGCCAGCUCACUUGUGCACAAAGAUGUAGCCGAGGCACGUGCAGGUCAGAGGCAAGAAGCAGUGGCACUGGUGUAGACAUUCACCCAUUUUC